AAGACUAUACUUUCAGGGAUCAUUUCCAUAGUUCAUCACUAGAGUAGUUUCUCUGAUCAUAAGAGCACCGCAAACCAGGAGAAGGAGCCAGAGCAUCCUCUUCUAGGCAUGAAACUGCUCUCUAGGUGUUGCUUUUGAAACUGCCUUUUACCAUGAUGAUUGUUCUUCUCUUCCCUCAGGGGAGAGAGAGAAAGAGAGAGAGAGUGAG
Small nucleolar RNA from Sorex fumeus (smoky shrew), 208 nucleotides. RefSeq annotates it as small nucleolar RNA U3. The record is from RefSeq and is a predicted model, not a curated record. Lineage: Eukaryota; Metazoa; Chordata; Mammalia; Eulipotyphla; Soricidae. The transcript has a single exon.